UGUCGUGGGUUCCCUGCUGCGAGGUGUUGUCGUGGUUUUUACAGUGGUGGUUCGUGGCCGUAUAGUCGUGGUCGUGGGAUUAAAAUGCCGGCCAUUAGGACGCCAACCCCUGGGCUUAUACCCUGAUAAAUCUGAUGUCACCGCUAGUCCGAUAUAAAGGAGGACGAGGAUGAGCUGGAAAAAAGUACAGAGAAUCAAUUUAAUUUAAAUAAAGAGAGGCGCAUGUGACAUGCGCUCGAAUGUCCGAA
This is a long non-coding RNA of Acromyrmex echinatior (Panamanian leafcutter ant), 248 nucleotides long. The record is from RefSeq and is a predicted model, not a curated record. Lineage: Eukaryota; Metazoa; Arthropoda; Insecta; Hymenoptera; Formicidae.